UCAUGCUGCAGGUCCUGAUAGACAGGCAGGUGCAGCUCCCCCACCAUAGAAGGUUGUCCAGUUCAGCAGUGAUUAGCGAGAUUCCUUCUACGGACUUGCCAUGGUCUUGGUAUGCAUUUCUGUUAUAGACAUUAUGGAAGCAAAAACCUUUUGCCUGGACAUUUGUUGGAACAUCGGUCACCAAUGUAAAGGAGUAUGGUGAAUUUGAAUCAACUUCAGCCAUGUUCUACAGGAUUUUGUGGUCUAAAUAGCAUUUGUCCUGCUACCUAUGAUAAGGAAAAGUGCGGAUUUAAUAGAACGAGCUUUCCAGAUCCUUGACCAAAUUCCUGGCAGAGUGACAUGUGCAUACAACCACAGUCAGGGCGUCAAAGGAUUACGUGAUACAAUUGCUUCUGGUGUCGAUAAUGUUGGUUCUUCAUCCUCUAUUCAGGUUCCCUAUUAUCUUGAUGAAGAAAUAUGAUGGGGACUGGGGAUCUCAGAGCUUGAGAAUCAGUUGAAAACUGCAAAAUCCAAGGGUAUUAAAGUUAGGGCUUUGUUUGUGAUUAAUCCAGGCAACCUAACGGGGCAGGUUCUUGUUGAGGCCAACCAACGAGCUAUUGUGGAAUUCUGCAAGAAAGAAGGCCUCGUUCUUUUGGCAGACGAAGUUUAUCAGGAAAAUGUUUAUGUGCCCGAGAAGCAGUUCCACUCGUUUAAGAAAAUUGCUCGGUCUAUGAGAUUUUGAAAAAAGAUAUCUCUUUAGUUUCUUUUCUGUAUCAAAAGGUGGAUCGUACUACCUCCAUCCAUCCCUCUCUUGUUGGUGGUCUUUCUUUCGUUUGUCUGCAUCUUACGAAGUUGUGGGGGAAAAGGGGGGAAAAGGGUUCUCAUCUCAUAAUAUAUAUUGGAAGCUGAAAUGGAGAUAAACAAUUUCACAUUAUUUGAAGGCUAUAACAAACAAUGCAUCUUUGUUUGUCUCAGUUGCAGGUAUUGGAAGACAGAGCUACUAAAGGGAAUAAAGAAAAUGCAAAUGGGGAACUUAAGGCUUACAAACCUUCAGAAAUUUCUAUGGGUUUGAACAAGAAAACCUCACACGCUGAUUAAAUUAAUGGUGUGGUCAAGCUUACAAAAAUGGAUCAGUUACAAAAUCAGGAGAUGAUGUGAAAGAUGUUAAACGAGGCAUGUAUUAGAAAAGAAACUUGUAGCUAAGGGUAUAUCAAAUGAGGUUUCUAAUAAAUGCUGAUUUAAAUUGAUUAAUAUGUGUAAAGUGUUAUCAUGAUACAUAAUUUUAUUUUUAGUUUAUUGUUAGGCUGCACCUUUGAACAAUUGGUGCUGCUAGUUAAUGUAGUA
Non-coding RNA from Nicotiana tabacum (common tobacco), 1323 nucleotides. The record is from RefSeq and is a predicted model, not a curated record. Lineage: Eukaryota; Viridiplantae; Streptophyta; Magnoliopsida; Solanales; Solanaceae.